RNAcentral lists this ribosomal RNA (137 nucleotides) under uncultured eukaryote. Its description in RNAcentral is "partial 18S ribosomal RNA". It matches the Rfam family "Eukaryotic small subunit ribosomal RNA", at positions 1299 to 1458 of the family's 1831-position model. The record is from RNAcentral.
UGGUGGAGUGAUUUGUCUGGUUAAUUCCGUUAACGAACGAGACCUCAGCCUACUAACUAGUUUAGUCAACUACGGUUGUCGUAGACUUCUUAGAGGGACUAUUGGUGACUAGCCAGUGGAAGUAUGAGGCAAUAACA